CGCGAUUGAACCGAUCCCCUGUGGUUGGACACAGCUGAUCCCUGGUUUCUUCCCCAUGAUUACUGAGUCGCUUUUAAGAUGGUUGUGCGACUGUAGAGCCAGAGUGAGCGUCCUAGGAUUGGAGGGGGCUCCCCGGGCAGUGCAGUCCCGAUCCUGCUCCUGCCUCUGUCUCUGUCCCUCAGGAGAUACUUUAAGCGGGUGGUGCUGGCAGCCCGGACCAAACGGGGACACCUGGUACUGAAGAGUUUCAAGGACACGCCGCUGGAAGGCCUGGAGCAGCUGCUGCCGGAGCUGAAGGUGCGCACGCCCACCCUGCAGCGCGCCCUGCUCAACCUCAUGCUGGUAGUCUCCGGCGUGGCGAUCUUCGUCAACGUGGGCAUGGUGGUGCUAACCGACCUCAAGGUGGCCACCUCCCUGCUGCUGCUGCUCUUCGCCAUCUUCAUGGGCCUGCGGGCCUCCAAGAUGUUCGGGCAGCGGCGCAGCGCGCAGGCGCUGGAGCUGGCGCACAUGCUGUACUAUCGCAGUACGUCCAACAACUCGGAGCUGCUCAGCGCCCUGGCCCUGCGCGCGCAGGACGAGCACACCAAGGAGGCGCUGCUGGCUCACAGCUUCCUGGCCCGGCGGCCAGGGGGCACUCAAGGCUCGCCCGAAGAGACCUCCAGGUGGCUCCGGUCGGAGGUGGAGAACUGGCUCCUAGCCAAGUCAGGCUGUGAGGUGACCUUCAACGGAACUCGGGCCCUGGCGCAUCUGCAGGCCCUGACCCCCAGCAUGGGAUUGUACCCACCCCCGGGUUUCCCCAAACUAGACCCA
Molecule: small RNA, 810 nt
Filed under: Pan troglodytes (chimpanzee)
Lineage: Eukaryota; Metazoa; Chordata; Mammalia; Primates; Hominidae
Description: retained intron
Source: RNAcentral